UGGUCCUGACCUUGAAAUCAGUUAUUACUUAAUAUAUACAUGCAAGUUUCCGCACCCCUGUGAAAACGCCCUUAAAUUCCCCACUAGGGAAAAGGAGCCGGUAUCAGGCACAACAAAAUCGCCCAAGACACCUAGCUACGCCACACCCACAAGGGGAACUCAGCAGUAAUUAACAUUGAGCAUAAGCGACAGCUUGACUCAGUUAAAGUAAAAAGAGCCGGCAAAUCUGGUGCCAGCCGCCGCGGUUACACCACGUGGCUCAAAUUGAUCUCUACCGGCGUAAAGCGUGAUUAAAGUUCUACCUCCGUUAGAGUCAAACUAAAACUAAGCUGUGACACGCUUGUAUUUGAGAAGCCCAAAGACGAAAGUUACUCCAAUUUAACCAACUUGAACCCACGACAACUGAGACACAAACUGGGAUUAGAUACCCCACUAUGCUCAGUCGUAAACUUUAAAUUACACCCACUAUCGCCAGGGAACUACGAGCAAAGCUUAAAACCCAAAGGACUUGACGGUACCCCACAUCCACCUAGAGGAGCCUGUCCUAUAAUCGAUACCCCCCGCUAAACCUCACCACUUUUCGCCCAUUCAGCCUGUAUACCUCCGUCGUCAGCUUACCACGUGAGCGCAACUCAGUGAGCUCAAUGCCCAUACGCCAACACGUCAGGUCAAGGUGCAGCAAAUGAAGUGGGAAGAGAUGGGCUACACUCUCUAACAUAGAAAAUACAAAAGACUACCUAUGAAACCUAGUCUGAAGGCGGAUUUAGAAGUAAAAAGAAAAAAGAAUGUUCUUUUUAACCCGGCACUGGGGUGUGUACACACCGCCCGUCACCCUCUUCAAGGCCAUCUAAAAGUAAAUAACCAACCAUUGCACAACAGAAGAGGCAAGUCGUAACAUGGUAAGUAUACCGGAAGGUGUGCUUGGAAA
Molecule: non-coding RNA, 928 nt
Filed under: Nymphargus bejaranoi (Bolivian cochran frog)
Lineage: Eukaryota; Metazoa; Chordata; Amphibia; Anura; Centrolenidae
Description: partial 12S ribosomal RNA
Rfam family: Bacterial small subunit ribosomal RNA
Source: RNAcentral